This 30-nucleotide non-coding RNA is filed under the name Mus musculus (house mouse). Lineage: Eukaryota; Metazoa; Chordata; Mammalia; Rodentia; Muridae. The record is from RNAcentral.
UGCAACAUAUGCGGCUGGAGCCAUGAAUCC